Molecule: non-coding RNA, 135 nt
Organism: Triticum aestivum (bread wheat)
Lineage: Eukaryota; Viridiplantae; Streptophyta; Magnoliopsida; Poales; Poaceae
Source: Rfam
AUACUACUCCCUUCGUUCCGAAUUACUUGUUUUGGAUUUGUCUAGAUACGGAGGUAUCUAGCACUAAAAUAAGUCUAGAUACAUCUGUAUCUAGACAAAUUCAAGACAAGCAAUUCGGAAUGGAGGGAGUAGGUC